Molecule: ribosomal RNA, 301 nt
Filed under: uncultured bacterium
Lineage: Bacteria
Description: partial 16S ribosomal RNA
Rfam family: Bacterial small subunit ribosomal RNA
Source: RNAcentral
CAGCAGCCGCGGGAAUACAGAGGGUGCGAGCGUUAAUCGGAUUUACUGGGCGUAAAGCGUGCGUAGGCGGCUUCUUAAGUCGGAUGUGAAAUCCCUGAGCUUAACUUAGGAAUUGCAUUUGAUACUGGGAAGCUAGAGUAUGGGAGAGGAUGGUAGAAUUCCAGGUGUAGCGGUGAAAUGCGUAGAGAUCUGGAGGAAUACCGAUGGCGAAGGCAGCCAUCUGGCCUAAUACUGACGCUGAGGUACGAAAGCAUGGGGAGCAAACAGGAUUAGAUACCCGAGUAGUCCCUGUCUCUUAUAA